GGCUUCCUCUGGGACUAGGAUCAGGAUGUGGACACCCCCAACCUGGACCGUCUGGCCGGGGAGGGAUCAGGCCAGUACCUCAUGCCCCCUUUGUCACGAUGACCUCCCGUCCCCUUCACCGCCAUCCCGGUCUUAGCAAAUGGCAUACCAGGAGAUUAUAUCCCGCACCUGGCUCAGAGGGUCCUACUCCACGGAGCCUCACUUAUUGCUAGCACAGCAGUCUGAGAUCAAACUGCAAGGAGGUAGCAAGGCUGGGAGAGGGGCGACUGCCAUUGCCUAGGCUUCAGUAGGUAAACAAAGUGGCUGGGAAGCUUGAACUGGGUGGAGCCCACUGCAGCUUAAGGAGGCCUGCCUGCCUCUGUAGACUCCACCUCUGGGGGCAGGGCAUUGCCAAACAAAAGGCAGCAGAAUCCUCUGCAGACUUAAAUGUCCCUGUCUGACAGCUUUGAAGAGAGUAGUGGUUCUCCCAGCAUGCAGCUGGAGAUCUGAGAAUGGACAGACUGCCUCCUCAAGUGGGUCCCUGACCCCCAGUAGCCUAAUUGGGAGGCACCCCCCAGUAGGGGCAGACUGACACCUCACAUGGCUGGGUACUCUCUGAGACAAAACUUCCAGAGGAACAAUCAGAUGGCAACAUUUGCAGCUCACCAAUAUCCACUGUUCUGCAGCCUCUGCUGCUGAUACCCAGGCUAACAGGGUCUGGAGUGGACCUCCAGCAAACUCCAACAGACCUGCAGCUGAGGGUCCUGACUGUUAGAAGGAAAACUAACAAAGAGAAGGGACAUCCACACAAAAACCCCAUCUGUACGUCACCAUCAUCAAAGACCAAAGGUAGAUAAAACCGCAAAGAUGGGGAAAAAACAGAGCAGAAAAAAUGGGAAACUCUAAAAAUCAGAGAGCCUCUCCUCCUCCAAAGGAAUGCAGCUCCUCACCAGCAAUGGAACAAAGCUGGACAGAGAAAGACUUUGAUGAGUUGAGAGAAGAAGGCUUCAGACGAUCAAACUACUCCGAGCUAAAGGAGGAAGUUCAAACCCAUGGCAAAGAAGUUAAAAUCCUUGAAAAAAGGUUAGAUGAAUGGCUAACUAUAUGGAUGAAUGGCUAACUAGAAUAACCAAUGCAGAGAAGUCCUUAAAGGACCUGAUGGAGCUGAAAACCGAGGCAAGAGAACUACAUGACAAAUGCACAAGCCUCGGUAGCUGAUUCGAUCAACUGUAAGUAAGGAUAUCAGUGAUGGAAGAUGAAAUGAAUGAAAUGAAGCGAGAAGUUUAGAGAAAAAAGAAUAUAAAGAAAUGAACAAAGCGUCCAAGAAAUAUGGGACUAUGUGAAAAGACAAAAUCUACGUCUGACUGGUGUACCUGAAAGUGAUGGGGAGAAUGGAACCAAGUUGGAAAACACUCUGCAGGAUAUUAUGCAGGAGAACUUCCCCAAUCUAGCAAGGCAGGCCAACAUUCAAAUUCGGGAAAUACAGAGAAUGCCACAAAGAUACUCCUUGAGAAGAGCAACUCCAAGAUACAUAAUUGUCAGAUUCACCAAAGUUGAAAUGAAGGAAAAAGUGUUAAGGGCAGCCAGAGAGAAAGGUCGGGUUACCUACAAAGGGAAGCCCAUCAGAUUAACAAUUGACCUCUCAGCAGAAGCUCUACAAGCCAGAAGAGAGUGGGGGCCAAUUUUCAACAUUCUUAAAGAGAAGAAUUUUCAACCCAGAAUCUCAUAUCCAGCCAAACUAAGCUUCAUAAGUGAAGGAGAAAUAAAAUCCUUUACAGACAAGCAAAUGCUGAGAGAUUUUGUCACCACCAGGCCUGCCCUACAAGAGCUCCUGAAGGAAGCACUAAACAUGGAAAGGAAAAACCGUUACCAGCCACUGCAAAAACAUGCCAAAUUGUAAAGACCAUCGAGGCUAGGAAGAAACUGCAUCAACUAACGAGAGAAAUAACCAGCUAACAUCAUAAUGACAUGAUCAAAUUCACACAUAACAAUAUUAACCUUAAGUGUCAAUGGGCUGAAUUCUCUGAUUAAAAGACACAGACUGGCAAAUUGGAUAAAGAGUCAAGACCCAUCACUGUCCUGUAUUCAGGAAACCCAUCUCAUGUGCAGAGACACACAUAGGCUCAAAAUAAAGGGAUGGAGGAAGAUCUACCAAGCAAAUGGAAAACAAAAAAAGGCAGGCGUUGCAAUCCUAGUCUCUGAUAAAACAGACUUUAAACCAACAAAGAUCAAAAGAGACCAAGAAGGCCAUUACAUAAUGGUAAAGGGAUCAAUUCAACAAGAAGAGCUAACUAUCCUAAAUAUAUCUGCACCCAAUACAGGAGCACCCAGAUUCAUAAAGCAAGUCCUUAGAGAUCUACAAAGAGACUUAGACUCCCACACGAUAAUAAUGGGAGAUUUUAACACCUCACUGUCAACAUUAAACAGAUUAACGAGACAGAAAGUUAACAAGGAUAUCCAGGGAUUGAACUCAGCUCUUCACCAAGAGGACCUAAUAGACAUCUACAGAACUCUCCACCCCAAACCAACAGAAAAUAUAUUCUUCUCAGCACCACACCGCACUUAUUCCAAAAUUGACCACAUAUUUGGAAGUGAAGCACUCCUCAGCAAAUGUAAAACAACAGAAAUUAUAACAAACUCUCAGACCACAGUGCAAUCAAACUAGAACUCAGGAUUAAGAAAUUCACUCAAAACCACUCAACUACAUGGAAACUGAACAAACUGCUCCUGAAGGACUACUGGGUAAAUAACGAAAUGAAGGCAGAAAUAAAGAUGUUCUUUGAAACCAAUGAGAACAAAGACACAACAUACCAGAAUCUCUGGGACACAUUCAAAGCAGUGUGUAGAGGGAAAUUUAUAGCACUAAAUGACCACAAGAGAAACAGGAGAGAUCUAAAGUUGACACCCUAACAUCACAAUUAAAAGAACUAGAGAAGCAAGAGCAAACACAUUCAAAAGCUAGCAG
This 2944-nucleotide long non-coding RNA is filed under the name Pan troglodytes (chimpanzee). RNAcentral describes it as "lincRNA". The record is from RNAcentral. Lineage: Eukaryota; Metazoa; Chordata; Mammalia; Primates; Hominidae.